AGGGGGACCUUCGGGCCUCUUGCCAUCAGAUGUGCCCAGAUGGGAUUAGCUAGUAAGUGGGGUAACGGCUCACCUAGGCGACGAUCCCUAGCUGGUCUGAGAGGAUGACCAGCCACACUGGAACUGAGACACGGUCCAGACUCCUACGGGAGGCAGCAGUGGGGAAUAUUGCACAAUGGGCGCAAGCCUGAUGCAGCCAU
RNAcentral lists this ribosomal RNA (200 nucleotides) under Klebsiella sp. MASH. RNAcentral's name for it is "partial 16S ribosomal RNA". It matches the Rfam family "Bacterial small subunit ribosomal RNA", at positions 202 to 395 of the family's 1533-position model. The record is from RNAcentral. Lineage: Bacteria; Pseudomonadati; Pseudomonadota; Gammaproteobacteria; Enterobacterales; Enterobacteriaceae.